CUUGACUUGUGGAAGUGUGACCCAUGACGUUUCCUGACGUCAUGGUGGAUGGCGCAAAUUGUAAAGUGAUUUUGACUGAAGGGUGAAUUAUAUCAGUCAUGAACAUCUCCAAUAAUUUCUCGUUAUUUUAUAAUAAGACACAAAACAACCACCUAUAUGAACUGUCAAUCAGUAACGUAAGGACAGUUCCCAUUUCCUCCAGCCAAUCAAGGGCCCCCAUCUUCCGUGGGCCCUGGGGCUUCAGCCCUGCCUAGCACUUAUGUUAAUCCGGCCCUGGAUAAGGGAGUAUUGGUGAAAGUUAACUCUGUAGCUGAUUGCCCUGUAUUUCGUACCCAGCUGCCUACCAUUAUCAAGUGGGGACCUUUUUCAAGGCCAUGCUCAGCCCUGGUGGAUUCUGGGGCUGAGGGUAAUUUAAUUGAUGCUACCCUGGUGUCUCCUACCACCCCUCUCAAGAAGAAACUCAUUGCCAGGGCUCUCAACGGCACCAUCCUCACCCAAGUUACUCAGGUCAUUUCCCCUGUAAGUUUUAACUGUUUCUGGCAACCAUUGUGAGGAGAUUGUGUUUUACCUCCUCGAGUCUCCCAGCACACCUACUGUGCUGGGGAACCUGUGGCUGGUGAGACACAGUCCUCACAUUGUUUGGGUUGAGAAUUCUGUAUUGGCAUGGAGCUCAUUUUGUCAUAAAUUUUGCCUGGGUGUUGCCUUUUCUGCUGGUUUUUCUUGUUCUAUGUUUCAGGAUGGGCAGACUGCGGUCUUUGCCAUUGACCUUCUCCCAGAGAAGAAAGACGGUUCCUUGCACCCCUGCAUCGGUUAUCAUGGGCUAAAUGACAUUACGGUAAAAUAAUUGGUACCCCCUGCCAUUGAUGUCCUUGGCUCCCGAGCUGCAGCAGGGAGCGCAGACCUUCACAAAGUUGGACCUCUGCAAUGCCUACCACUUGGUUCGGAUAAGGGAAAGGGAUGAGUGGAAGACAGCUUUUAACACCCCUACUGGCCACUUUAAAUAUCGGGAACCUGAUGCAGCGGUCCCCUCUGCCCAGGCCUUUGUCCAGAGGUGCAAAUCCACAUGGGAAAGAGCCAGGAAGGUGCUCAUUCAGGCGGGGAGACAUGCCAAGGUGGCAGCAGAUCGUUGUCAGACUCCUGCACCCAAGUAUUUUUGUGGGCAGAGGGUAUGGCUUUCUACUCUGGACCUGCCCCUUAAGGUGCCAUCACGCAAGCUGGCACCCAGGACAUUGAUAUCAUUGCACCUGAAGUAUCGAUAGGAAUUCUCACUGUGGUGCCAGAGGACAGCCCGAUGUCUCCACAAGGUUUGCCUUUGGAGGUCACUGAUACAGCAAUAAUUUUGGAGGGCGUUAUAGCAAUGGAUGGACUUGAGAAUGUUCCACAUUUCAUUUGUUUUGUUUUUGGGCUGAUCCAAAUAUGGAGUACCCUUCACAGCUUAAGAAUUUGUUCAAUACGUUUUUAAUAGCAGAAACAAGCCUGUCUUGGGUCUAUUGUUGCAUUUUGGGUGUUGUAUCCAGAUUGAUGGGUGACUGAUUAAAAAUCGAAAUACCCGCAACUUAAAAACCGUGAUGUUUUAAUCCGUUUUUGGUUUAUGCUUCUUGAUGGCAGAAAAAGACCAUGUUAUUGUAGGUCUGUUGUUGCACUUUGGGUGUUUUAUCCAG
This is a long non-coding RNA of Cyprinus carpio carpio, 1661 nucleotides long. The record is from Ensembl. Lineage: Eukaryota; Metazoa; Chordata; Actinopteri; Cypriniformes; Cyprinidae.